UACGUAGGCAGCGAGCGUUGUUCGGAGUUACUGGGCGUAAAGCGUGCGUAGGCGGUGUUCCAAGUCUGUUGUGAAAUCUCCCGGCUUAACUGGGAGGGUGCGGCGGAAACUGGGACGCUGGAGUGCGGGAGAGGUAAGCGGAAUUCCUGGUGUAGCGGUGAAAUGCGUAGAGAUCAGCAGGAACACCCGUGGCGAAGGCGGCCCCCUGGGCCGUACCUGACGCUGAGGCGCGAAGGCUAGGGGAGCGAACGGG
Molecule: ribosomal RNA, 253 nt
Filed under: uncultured bacterium
Lineage: Bacteria
Description: partial 16S ribosomal RNA
Rfam family: Bacterial small subunit ribosomal RNA
Source: RNAcentral